GGGCCCGCACAAGCGGUGGAGCAUGUGGUUUAAUUCGAUGCAACGCGAAGAACCUUACCUACCCUUGACAUCCUUGGAAUCUUUCAGAGAUGAGAGAGUGCCUUCGGGAACCAAGUGACAGGUGCUGCAUGGCUGUCGUCAGCUCGUGUCGUGAGAUGUUGGGUUAAGUCCCGCAACGAGCGCAACCCACGUCUUUAGUUGCCAGCAUUUAGUUGGGCACUCUAGAGAGACUGCCGGUGAUAAACCGGAGGAAGGUGUGGAUGACGUCAAGUCAUCAUGCCCCUUACAUCCUGGGCUACACACGUACUACAAUGCUACGGACAAAGGGCUGCAAGUUCGCGAGGACAAGCAAAUCCCAUAAACCGUGGCUCAGUUCAGAUCGUAGGCUGCAACUCGCCUACGUGAAGGCGGAAUCGCUAGUAAUCGCAGGUC
RNAcentral lists this ribosomal RNA (432 nucleotides) under uncultured bacterium. RNAcentral describes it as "bacterial SSU rRNA". It matches the Rfam family "Bacterial small subunit ribosomal RNA", at positions 917 to 1350 of the family's 1533-position model. The record is from RNAcentral.